This 497-nucleotide ribosomal RNA is filed under the name uncultured bacterium. RNAcentral's name for it is "partial 16S ribosomal RNA". It matches the Rfam family "Bacterial small subunit ribosomal RNA", at positions 28 to 507 of the family's 1533-position model. The record is from RNAcentral.
GAUGAACGCCGGCGGCGUGCCUAAUACAUGCAAGUCGAGCGAACGGACGAGAAGCUUGCUUCUCUGAUGUUAGCGGCGGACGGGUGAGUAACACGUGGAUAACCUACCUAUAAGACUGGGAUAACUUCGGGAAACCGGAGCUAAUACCGGAUAAUAUUUUGAACCGCAUGGUUCAAAAGUGAAAGACGGUCUUGCUGUCACUUAUAGAUGGAUCCGCGCUGCAUUAGCUAGUUGGUAAGGUAACGGCUUACCAAGGCAACGAUGCAUAGCCGACCUGAGAGGGUGAUCGGCCACACUGGAACUGAGACACGGUCCAGACUCCUACGGGAGGCAGCAGUAGGGAAUCUUCCGCAAUGGGCGAAAGCCUGACGGAGCAACGCCGCGUGAGUGAUGAAGGUCUUCGGAUCGUAAAACUCCGUUAUUAGGGAAGAACAUAUGUGUAAGUAACUGUGCACAUCUUGACGGUACCUAAUCAGAAAGCCACGGCUAACUACGUG